AUGUGACCUCAAAUCAGGUAGGACUACCCGCUGAACUUAAGCAUAUCAAUAAGCGGAGGAAAAGAAACUAACAAGGAUUCCCCUAGUAACUGCGAGUGAAGCGGGAAAAGCUCAAAUUUAAAAUCUGGCGGUCUUUGGCUGUCCGAGUUGUAAUCUAGAGAAGUGUUAUCCGCGCUGGACCGUGUACAAGUCUCCUGGAAUGGAGCGUCAUAGAGGGUGAGAAUCCCGUCUUUGACACGGACUGCCAGGGCUUUGUGAUGCGCUCUCAAAGAGUCGAGUUGUUUGGGAAUGCAGCUCAAAAUGGGUGGUAAAUUCCAUCUAAAGCUAAAUAUUGGCGAGAGACCGAUAGCGAACAAGUACCGUGAGGGAAAGAUGAAAAGAACUUUGGAAAGAGAGUUAAACAGUACGUGAAAUUGCUGAAAGGGAAACGCUUGAAGUCAGUCGCGUUGUCCAGGGAUCAACCUUGCUUUUGCUUGGUGCACUUUCUGGUUGACGGGGUCAGCAUCAAUUUUGACUAUUGGAAAAAGAUUAGGGGAAUGUGGCAUCUUCGGAUGUGUUAUAGCCCUUGGUUGCAUACAAUGGUUGGGAUUGAGGAACUCAGCACGCCGCAAGGCCGGGUUUUAACCACGUACGUGCUUAGGAUGCUGGCAUAAUGGCUUUAAUCGACCCGUCUUGAAACACGGACCAAGGAGUCUAACAUGCCUGCGAGUGUUUGGGUGGAAAACCCGAGCGCGUAAUGAAAGUGAAAGUUGAGAUCCCUGUCGUGGGGAGCAUCGACGCCCGGACCAGACCUUUUGUGACGGUUCCGCGGUAGAGCAUGUAUGUUGGGACCCGAAAGAUGGUGAACUAUGCCUGAAUAGGGUGAAGCCAGAGGAAACUCUGGUGGAGGCUCGUAGCGAUUCUGACGUGCAAAUCGAUCGUCAAAUUUGGGUAUAGGGGCGAAAGACUAAUCGAACCAUCUAGUAGCUGGUUCCUGCC
RNAcentral lists this ribosomal RNA (978 nucleotides) under Cortinarius orixanthus. RNAcentral describes it as "eukaryotic LSU rRNA". It matches the Rfam family "Eukaryotic large subunit ribosomal RNA", at positions 1 to 962 of the family's 3401-position model. Lineage: Eukaryota; Fungi; Basidiomycota; Agaricomycetes; Agaricales; Cortinariaceae. The record is from RNAcentral.